CGUAGGGUGCGAGCGUUGUCCGGAUUUAUUGGGCGUAAAGGGCUCGUAGGUGGUUGAUCGCGUCGGAAGUGUAAUCUUGGGGCUUAAACCCUGAGCGUGCUUUCGAUACGGGUUGACUUGAGGAAGGUAGGGGAGAAUGGAAUUCCUGGUGGAGCGGUGGAAUGCGCAGAUAUCAGGAGGAACACCAGUGGCGAAGGCGGUUCUCUGGGCCUUUCCUGACGCUGAGGAGCGAAAAGCGUGGGGAGCGAACAGGCUU
This 256-nucleotide ribosomal RNA is filed under the name uncultured bacterium. RNAcentral describes it as "partial 16S ribosomal RNA". It matches the Rfam family "Bacterial small subunit ribosomal RNA", at positions 526 to 779 of the family's 1533-position model. The record is from RNAcentral.